Molecule: long non-coding RNA, 134 nt
Organism: Gavialis gangeticus (Gharial)
Lineage: Eukaryota; Metazoa; Chordata; Crocodylia; Gavialidae
Exons: 3
Source: RefSeq, a predicted model, not a curated record
CCAGGGGCUUUGUGUUUGCUUUUUGACCAGCAGUUUGGUUGAGGCUAUUAGGGGAUGGAGGAGGCCUCACAGGGGACCUGCAGCAGCGUGGGAACCUCAGCCCCAGGGAGAGGGGGCAGCAAGAAGCCACAGAG